Molecule: small RNA, 195 nt
Filed under: Marmota monax (woodchuck)
Lineage: Eukaryota; Metazoa; Chordata; Mammalia; Rodentia; Sciuridae
Source: RNAcentral
GCUGGGUGUGGUGGCACACAUCUGUAAUCCCAGCAGCUUGGGAGGCUGAGGCAGGAGGAUUGAAAGUUCAAAGCCAGCCUCAGCAAAAGUGAGGCACUAAGCAACUCAGUGAGACCCUGUCUCUAUAUAAAAUACAAAAUAGGACUGGGAUGUGGCUCAGUGGUUGAGUGCUUCAAUCUCUGGUACCUGCUUCCC